UAGGGAAUUGUUCGCAAUGGGCGCAAGCCUGACGACGCAACGCCGCGUGGAGGAUGAAGACCUUCGGGUCGUAAACUCCUUUCGACCGAGAUGAACAUCCCGCGAUCUAAUACAUUGCGGGACUGACAGUAUCGAGGGAAGCAGCCCCGGCUAACUCCGUGCCAGCAGCCGCGGUAAUACGGGGGGGGCAAGCGUUGUUCGGAAUUACUGGGCGUAAAGGGUUCGUAGGUGGCCGGCUAAGUCAGACGUGAAAUCCCUCAGCUUAACUGGGGAACUGCGUCUGAGACUGGUCGGCUUGAGUGCAGGAGAGGAACGCGGAAUUCCAGGUGUAGCGGUGAAAUGCGUAGAUAUCUGGAGGAACACCGGUGGCGAAGGCGGCGUUCUGGACUGCAACUGACACUGAGGAACGAAAGCCAGGGGAGCAAACGGGAUUAGAUACCCCCGUAGUCC
This 450-nucleotide ribosomal RNA is filed under the name uncultured bacterium. RNAcentral's name for it is "bacterial SSU rRNA". It matches the Rfam family "Bacterial small subunit ribosomal RNA", at positions 355 to 796 of the family's 1533-position model. The record is from RNAcentral.